RNAcentral lists this ribosomal RNA (468 nucleotides) under uncultured bacterium. Its description in RNAcentral is "partial 16S ribosomal RNA". It matches the Rfam family "Bacterial small subunit ribosomal RNA", at positions 28 to 507 of the family's 1533-position model. The record is from RNAcentral.
GACGAACGCUGGCGGCGUGCUUAACACAUGCAAGUCGAACGGAAAGGCCCUGCUUGCAGGGUGCUCGAGUGGCGAACGGGUGAGUAACACGUGGGUGAUCUGCCCCUUACUUUGGGAUAAGCCUGGGAAACUGGGUCUAAUACUGGAUAGGACCAUGCUGUAGGUGGUGUGGUGGAAAGAUUAGUUUCGGUAAGGGAUGAGCUCGCGGCCUAUCAGCUUGUUGGUGGGGUAAUGGCCUACCAAGGCGUCGACGGGUAGCCGGCCUGAGAGGGUGGACGGCCACAUUGGGACGGAGAUACGGCCCAGACUCCUACGGGAGGCAGCAGUGGGGAAUAUUGCACAAUGGGCGCAAGCCUGAUGCAGCGACGCCGCGUGGGGGAUGACGGCCUUCGGGUUGUAAACUCCUUUCAGCCAUGACGAAGCCUUCGGGUGACGGUAGUGGUAGAAGAAGCACCGGCUAACUACGUG